This 247-nucleotide ribosomal RNA is filed under the name uncultured bacterium. RNAcentral's name for it is "partial 16S ribosomal RNA". It matches the Rfam family "Bacterial small subunit ribosomal RNA", at positions 523 to 769 of the family's 1533-position model. The record is from RNAcentral.
AUACGAAAGGUGCAAGCGUUGUUCGGAAUUACUGGGCGUAAAGCGCACGUAGGCGGGUCUGUAUGUCGAUUGUGAAAGCCCCGGGCUCAACCUGGGAAUUGCAGUCGAAACUGCAGAUCUUGAAUACCUGAGAGGGUGGGGGAAUUCCUGGUGGAGAAGUGAAAUUCGUAGAUAUCAGGAGGAACACCUGAGGCGAAGGCGCCUGCCUGGCAGUGUAUUGACGCUGAUGUGCGAAAGCGUGGGGAGC